Molecule: long non-coding RNA, 443 nt
Organism: Phyllostomus hastatus (greater spear-nosed bat)
Lineage: Eukaryota; Metazoa; Chordata; Mammalia; Chiroptera; Phyllostomidae
Exons: 3
Source: RefSeq, a predicted model, not a curated record
GCCUGCAAAUAAAUGUACAAGGAAAGCAAGAGGCAGAAUAUGGAGGAAGAUGAGCCUGGAGAGAAAGGAUCAGACCUUGAUACAAGCAUUUCAUUGUCUGAGGGAUAAGUUAAGGAAGCACCGGCAAGGAAAGUGGGAAAAGGAGCAAGAAGGGAGAGUGGCUAACAACUGGGCAAACAGUUGUCCCCUGGGCAACCAGGGAACACUCAACAGCAAGCCAUGGAGUCACUGCACCUGAAGAUGAAAAAAGUCCUCAGAGGGAAACGUUUUGCUGAUGUGGAAGAGGUGAAACAAAAAAAGACAGAAGCACUAAAAGCAUCAAAAUUGAUGAGUUCAAAAACUGUUUUGAGCAAUGGAAAAAUAUCUCAAUAGGUUGUCAAAAACAUCUCCAUUGCACCUAAUGGAGAGUACUUGGACUGUGACUGAAGUUUAAACAUGUGAAA